Long non-coding RNA from Scylla paramamosain (green mud crab), 1465 nucleotides. RefSeq lists it as uncharacterized. The record is from RefSeq and is a predicted model, not a curated record. The transcript is spliced from 4 exons. Lineage: Eukaryota; Metazoa; Arthropoda; Malacostraca; Decapoda; Portunidae.
GCCAUGCUGCCAGUUUGACUUCUGCCGUCAUCGUGGAAAGUUUGCAAGAUUGUGAUCUACGUAUGUUGUUAUACCUUUCAAAAUGGCAGCUUUUAUCUUCAGAACCUUGAAGUUUGGCACUAUUUCCUCUCUUUCUUAAAUGACCUGAGGGAGUUCCGGCCAGCUGUCACCUGUGCCUGUGUGAGUGUUGCCUCUGUCCACCUGUUUAUGUGUACCUGCUUCACACACUCACACCUGACGCAUUCCCCUGGUAGCUGGAUAGCCUGAAGGAUCUGAAGAAGUCUGGCUACACUCUCACCUGUACCUGUAAGUGUUGCCAUUCCUCACCCGUUGACGUGUACCUGUCUGACACACUCACCUGCUUGGCGCCACAAAGAUCCAGUGCGAUGUUGUACAAUGCGGCGAGAUGCAUACACUGAAAGGGAAAAAAUAGGAUUAGAGGAGAACCGAGUGAGGAAAUGUGAGGGAAUGCCACUCCCCGCCCCAACCCCAUCAGCAGUGGACGCAGUGAUUCACGGAUGCGGUUGUGUCUUUUCGUUAUAAAGUGUGACAAUUCGUGGCCAAUCUUCGUCUUCUUGGUGGGAGACUGCAGGUGUGAGGAGGAGGCAGAGGAGGAAAAGGGGGAGGAGGAGGAAGAAGAUGAGGAGGAAGAGGAGAAAACUAAAGAAGGAAAAGAAAUAGAGGGAACAUUGUGGAAUCGUGUUGAGAAGGAAGUGAAGGAUGCAGGAUUAUUGGAGGAGAGAGAGAGAGAGAGAGAGAGAGAGAGAGAGAGAGAGAGAGAGAGAGAGAGAGAGACAGAGAGAGACAGACAGACAGACAGACAGACAGACAGACAGACAGACAGACAGACAGACAGACAGACAGACAGAGAUACGAUCAGUGAAGGAAGAAAAUCGUGGAUAGGUAGUUUACUGGAUGGCUGAGAUGGGGAGGAAGGACAGGUGGUGAAGGGGCUGUGUGUGGCGGAGGAUGAAGGGAGAUGUAGCCAGGUGAAAAAUUGAGGGAGAGGAAAAGGAGUACAGAGAGUCGAGGAGAGAGAGUAUGAUGUCUGUAGGAAGAGAAUGGGUGAAGGGAAGGACGAGCUGGAAGCGAGACAGACACAGAGAGUUUGGUUACGUUUAGUUUAUUGACGACAGCAGCAUUACAUGGGUAUCAGCGUCAGAAUUUAAAUUAGAACAAUGGUCCAACGAGAUAUACUCCCUUUAAUGAACAGGACGCACUAAAACAGCCAUGUAACAGUCUGAAAGCAAAGAGUAAUGUAAAAGUUGCAUAAUACUAUAUGAUCAAAUUACUGAUCAAAUUACUGAAACGAAAUUGCACCUUAUAAAACACUGUGACAAAAUAAAAACCAUUUCUAAAACGCGAAAUACAAAUAUAAGAAUUACACACACACACACACACACACACACACACACACACACACACACACACACACACACACACACACACACACACACACGAAGAA